This 1151-nucleotide ribosomal RNA is filed under the name uncultured marine eukaryote. RNAcentral describes it as "bacterial SSU rRNA". It matches the Rfam family "Eukaryotic small subunit ribosomal RNA", at positions 631 to 1795 of the family's 1831-position model. The record is from RNAcentral.
UUAUCAGCUUGUAGUGGGCGUCGCUUUUGUGGUGCUCACUUUAGGAGCUUGGUAUCCUCAUUUUGAUGUUUGGGUGCGGGUGUCAUUAGCUUGGCGUCCGUAAACUGCAUCGAUUUUACCUUGAAUAAAUCGGAGUGCUCAAAGCAGGCUCUAAUGCUUGAACGAUUGUGCAUGGGAUAAUGGAACAGGGCGUCUCCGCCCUUUCAUUGGUUUAAGUGGAGACGUAAUGAUAGAUAGGAACGGACGGCGUGAUUCGUACGAGAGGGUGAAAGGUGAAAUUUUUAGAUCCUUCUCAGACGGACGGAUGCGAAGGCGUUUCACGAGAACGUUUUCAUUGAUCAAGAGCGAAAGAAGCAGGUUCGAAAACGAUUAGAUACCGUUGUAGUUGCUUCCGUAAACGAUUUAGACUUGCGAUUGGCAAGGGUUGUUAAUAACCUUGUCAGCAGCUUCCGGGAAACCAAAGUGUUUGUAGCCCAGGGGGAGUAUGGUUGCAAAGCUGAAACUUAAAGAAAUUGACGGAAGGGCACCACCAGGCGUGGAGCCUGCGGCUUAAUUUGACUCAACACGGGACAACUUGCCCGGCCCGGACACAGGAAUGAUUGACAGAUUGAGAGCUCUUUCUUGAUUCUGUGGGUGGUGGUGCAUGGCCGUUCUUAGUCGGUGGAGUGAUUUGUCUGGUUAAUUCCGAUAACGGACGAGACUCUGACAUGCUAACUAGUUUCGCUUGCCCUUGGUCAGGUGGGAACUUCUUAGAUGGAUUGGCGCUUUUUUUCAAUGCGCAUGAAAUAGAGCUAUAACAGGUCUGUGAUGCCCUUAGAUGUUCGGGACCGCACGCGCGCUACAAUGAAUUAGUCAAUAGGAUUUAGCUGAGGCGAAAGCUUGUCGCAAGACAUUUCGGCGAAUCGAACAAACUAGUUCAUGCUUGGGAUAGUUGCUUGUAAUUCUUCAACUUGAACGAGGAAUGCCUAGUAAUGAUGAGUCAUCAGCUCAUCGUGAUUACGUCCCUGCCCUUUGUACACACCGCCCGUCGCUAGUACCGACUAGUUGGUUUAGUGAGUCGCUUGGAUUUAUAGUAGGGAAGGGCGCAAGUCCGGAACUGCAGUGAAGAAGAAUGGCAAACUUGGUCAACCGGAGGAACUAAAAGUCGUAAC